Molecule: ribosomal RNA, 262 nt
Filed under: uncultured Enterobacter sp.
Lineage: Bacteria; Pseudomonadati; Pseudomonadota; Gammaproteobacteria; Enterobacterales; Enterobacteriaceae
Description: partial 16S ribosomal RNA
Rfam family: Bacterial small subunit ribosomal RNA
Source: RNAcentral
AAGGGGGACCUUCGGGCCUCUUGCCAUCAGAUGUGCCCAGAUGGGAUUAGCUAGUANGUGGGGUAACGGCUCACCUANGCGACGAUCCCUAGCUGGUCUGAGAGGAUGACCAGCCACACUGGAACUGAGACACGGUCCAGACUCCUACGGGAGGCAGCAGUGGGGAAUAUUGCACAAUGGGCGCAAGCCUGAUGCACCAUGCCGCGUGUAUGAAGAAGGCCUUCGGGUUGUAAAGUACUUUCAGCGAGGAGGAAGGCAUUAA